GUGGGGAAUAUUGGACAAUGGGCGCAAGCCUGAUCCAGCCAUACCGCGUGGGUGAAGAAGGCCUUCGGGUUGUAAAGCCCUUUUGUUGGGAAAGAAAUCCAGCCGGCUAAUACCUGGUUGGGAUGACGGUACCCAAAGAAUAAGCACCGGCUAACUUCGUGCCAGCAGCCGCGGUAAUACGAAGGGUGCAAGCGUUACUCGGAAUUACUGGGCGUAAAGCGUGCGUAGGUGGUCGUUUAAGUCCGUUGUGAAAGCCCUGGGCUCAACCUGGGAACUGCAGUGGAUACUGGGCGACUAGAGUGUGGUAGAGGGUAGCGGAAUUCCUGGUGUAGCAGUGAAAUGCGUAGAGAUCAGGAGGAACAUCCAUGGCGAAGGCAGCUACCUGGACCAACACUGACACUGAGGCACGAAAGCGUGGGGAGCAAACAGGAUUAGAAACCCUAGUAGUCCC
Molecule: ribosomal RNA, 451 nt
Filed under: uncultured bacterium
Lineage: Bacteria
Description: bacterial SSU rRNA
Rfam family: Bacterial small subunit ribosomal RNA
Source: RNAcentral